Molecule: ribosomal RNA, 427 nt
Filed under: uncultured eukaryote
Lineage: Eukaryota
Description: partial 18S ribosomal RNA
Rfam family: Eukaryotic small subunit ribosomal RNA
Source: RNAcentral
CAAUAGCGUAUAUUAAAGCUGUUGCGAUUAAAAAGCUCGUAGUUGGAUCUCGGGCAUGGGCGCGCGGUCCGCCUCGCGGCGGUCACUGCGCGGCGAGGGGGGGAGCGGCUGGGUGGUCGCCCCCUUUCCUCCUCCCAUCCUACGCUUCCCGGUUGUUCAGCCCAUGGUGCUCUUGACUGAGCGUUUUGGGUGGCCGGAACGUUUACUUUGAAGAAAUUAGAGUGUUCAAAGCAGGCACGUCGCCUGAAUAAUGGUGCAUGGAAUAAUGGAAUAGGACCUCGGUCUUAUUUUGCUGGUUUACCUGACUGCGAGGUAAUGAUUAAGAGGGACAGACGGGGGCAUCCGUAUUGCGGUGUUAGAGGUGAAAUUCUUGGAUCAUCGCAAGACGAACGACUGCGAAAGCAUUUGCCAAGCAUGUUUUCAUUAG